Molecule: ribosomal RNA, 422 nt
Filed under: uncultured Glomeraceae
Lineage: Eukaryota; Fungi; Glomeromycota; Glomeromycetes; Glomerales; Glomeraceae
Description: SSU rRNA
Rfam family: Eukaryotic small subunit ribosomal RNA
Source: RNAcentral
GGGAGGUAGUGACAAUAAAUAACAAUACAGGGUCCUUUCGGGUCUUGUAAUUGGAAUGAGUACAAUUUAAAUCUCUUAACGAGGAACAAUUGGAGGGCAAGUCUGGUGCCAGCAGCCGCGGUAAUUCCAGCUCCAAUAGCGUAUAUUAAAGUUGUUGCAGUUAAAAAGCUCGUAGUUGAAUUUCGGGAUCAGUACGCUGGUCGUGCCUUCGGUAUGUACUGGUGUUACUGGUUUCUACCUUCUGACGAACCGUUAUGUCAUUCAUUUGGUGUGGCGGGAAAUCAGGACUGUUACUUUGAAAAAUUAGAGUGUUUAAAGCAGGCUCGCGCUUGAAUACAUUAGCAUGGAAUAAUGAAAUAGGACGUUUGAUCCUAUUUUGUUGGUUUCUAGGAUCGACGUAAUGAUUAAUAGGGAUAGUUGGG